UACAGAGACUGCAAGCGUUAUUCGGAUUCACUGGGCGUAAAGGGUGCGCAAGCGGCCAAGUGUGUUAGGCGUGAAAGCCCGGGGCUUAACCCCGGAAUUGCACCUAAAACUACAUGGCUAGAGCAUUGGAGAGGGUAGCGGAAUUCACGGUGUAGCAGUGAAAUGCGUAGAUAUCGUGAGGAACACCAAUAGCGAAGGCAGCUCACUGGACAUCACCUGACCCUGAAUGACGAAAGCGUGGGGAGCGAACCGG
RNAcentral lists this ribosomal RNA (253 nucleotides) under uncultured bacterium. RNAcentral describes it as "partial 16S ribosomal RNA". It matches the Rfam family "Bacterial small subunit ribosomal RNA", at positions 524 to 776 of the family's 1533-position model. The record is from RNAcentral.